AACGCACAUUGCGCCUUAUGGUAUUCCAUAAGGCAUGCCUGUCUGAGCGUCAGCUCCCCCCCACUCAAGCUCUUUUGCUUGGAUUAUUUUGGGCAAGCAGCUGUAAAAAGUUGCUGUCCACAAAUUCAUAGGCAGUAUGGUCAAUUCCAAGCUGAACGUAAUAAUUAAAAAAAUCACGUUUACUUUGAGAGAUAUUGUACUCGCCCUUAACCCACAAAUUUUUUAUGGGUGACCUCAGAUCAGGUAGGGAUACCCGCUGAACUUAA
Molecule: unclassified non-coding RNA, 266 nt
Filed under: uncultured Peziza
Lineage: Eukaryota; Fungi; Ascomycota; Pezizomycetes; Pezizales; Pezizaceae
Description: sequence contains ITS2
Rfam family: 5.8S ribosomal RNA (bases 1-52)
Source: RNAcentral